RNAcentral lists this ribosomal RNA (247 nucleotides) under uncultured bacterium. RNAcentral's name for it is "partial 16S ribosomal RNA". It matches the Rfam family "Bacterial small subunit ribosomal RNA", at positions 57 to 305 of the family's 1533-position model. The record is from RNAcentral.
GCAAGUCGAGCGAGAAACCUUCUUCGGAAGGCAGGCAGCGGCGCACGGGUGAGUAACGCGUACACAAUCUACCUUUCAGUGUGGAAUAGCCCCGGGAAACUGGGAUUAAUACCGCAUAGUCUUUAAGAUCGGCAUCGAUUUUAAAUUAAAGCUCCGGCGCUGAAAGAUGAGUGUGCGUUCUAUUAGGUAGUUGGUAAGGUAACGGCUUACCAAGCCGAUGAUAGGUAGGGGGCGUGAGAGCGUGAGC